RNAcentral lists this ribosomal RNA (655 nucleotides) under Campylobacter jejuni. Its description in RNAcentral is "bacterial SSU rRNA". It matches the Rfam family "Bacterial small subunit ribosomal RNA", at positions 495 to 1150 of the family's 1533-position model. The record is from RNAcentral. Lineage: Bacteria; Pseudomonadati; Campylobacterota; Epsilonproteobacteria; Campylobacterales; Campylobacteraceae.
GGCUAACUCCGUGCCAGCAGCCGCGGUAAUACAGAGGGUGCGAGCGUUAAUCGGAUUUACUGGGCGUAAAGCGUGCGUAGGCGGCUUAUUAAGUCGGAUGUGAAAUCCCCGAGCUUAACUUGGGAAUUGCAUUCGAUACUGGUGAGCUAGAGUAUGGGAGAGGAUGGUAGAAUUCCAGGUGUAGCGGUGAAAUGCGUAGAGAUCUGGAGGAAUACCGAUGGCGAAGGCAGCCAUCUGGCCGAAUACUGACGCUGAGGUACGAAAGCAUGGGGAGCAAACAGGAUUAGAUACCCUGGUAGUCCAUGCCGUAAACGAUGUCUACUAGCCGUUGGGGCCUUUGAGGCUUUAGUGGCGCAGCUAACGCGAUAAGUAGACCGCCUGGGGAGUACGGUCGCAAGACUAAAACUCAAAUGAAUUGACGGGGGCCCGCACAAGCGGUGGAGCAUGUGGUUUAAUUCGAUGCAACGCGAAGAACCUUACCUGGCCUUGACAUACUAGAAACUUUCCAGAGAUGGAUUGGUGCCUUCGGGAAUCUAGAUACAGGUGCUGCAUGGCUGUCGUCAGCUCGUGUCGUGAGAUGUUGGGUUAAGUCCCGCAACGAGCGCAACCCUUUUCCUUACUUGCCAGCAUUUCGGAUGGGAACUUUAAGGAUACU